This 23-nucleotide small nuclear RNA is filed under the name Arabidopsis thaliana (thale cress). RNAcentral describes it as "snRNA_11656". Lineage: Eukaryota; Viridiplantae; Streptophyta; Magnoliopsida; Brassicales; Brassicaceae. The record is from RNAcentral.
CUGGGACUCUAAUUCAGACCUCU